AAAAAAUCAACCCCAUUUCCUAUCUUUAGAAUUACUACCAUACCGUUCCCUUUCGUCAUAGAAAUAUAUUAUUCGUCAAGUAAGAAAAUUUCGGUAAAUAUUUUGUUUUUGUGCAGAAUAAAAUUUGAUAAAACAAAGUAUAUAUUGAAAUUUCUGAAAAACGGAUUGAAAAAAUUCAACCCCAUUUCCUAUCUUUACAAAUGCUGCCAUACCGUUUCCCUUGUGUCUGAAA
This 232-nucleotide long non-coding RNA is filed under the name Mytilus galloprovincialis (Mediterranean mussel). The record is from RNAcentral. Lineage: Eukaryota; Metazoa; Mollusca; Bivalvia; Mytilida; Mytilidae.